This is a long non-coding RNA of Homo sapiens (human), 337 nucleotides long. Ensembl annotates it as RERG antisense RNA 1. Its record names the gene RERG-AS1. The record is from Ensembl. NCBI's taxonomy places the organism in Eukaryota, Metazoa, Chordata, Mammalia, Primates, Hominidae.
AAUAAAUGCUGCGUUCCAUGUGCUAAGUACUGAAGUUAUUACCAUGACAACAAGACCACCUUCUUGCCUACAGUUCGGAGAUUAAUAAAGGGCUCCUGAGAUAACCACAAGGCACAUGAAAUAACCCAGGAACUAUAAAUUGCAAAAGCCCCCGAGUCUCCCUGGCAAUCAAUAAAGCACAGAAGCUUUGUUCAGAUUGCCAACCACCCGGUUCAGUUCUGGACAACCUCAUACUGCCAUCCACGUAAGUGUCUAUGCUGCAUUGUAACUUUUGGAAAAACAUGCACACACCUGGUGCCACCUGGGUAGGUGUGACCAGAACCUGCCUGUUGGAAAA